AACCCAUGGUACGGACACUUGUGCAGCAGCAAUUUAAAUAUUCCCAUGCUUCAUAAAGAGUCUCCCCCUCAAUUUGCUGAAAAUUAGUGAUGUCUUUGUUGGAU
This is a small nucleolar RNA of Gossypium raimondii (Peruvian cotton), 104 nucleotides long. It matches the Rfam family "Plant small nucleolar RNA R71". Rfam says of the family: R71 is a member of the C/D box family of snoRNAs containing the C (UGAUGA) and D (CUGA) box motifs. Multiple nearly identical copies of this snoRNA have been identified in Arabidopsis, and it is thought to function as a 2'-O-ribose methylation guide for 18S ribosomal RNA. The record is from Rfam. NCBI's taxonomy places the organism in Eukaryota, Viridiplantae, Streptophyta, Magnoliopsida, Malvales, Malvaceae.